This 608-nucleotide long non-coding RNA is filed under the name Heterocephalus glaber (naked mole-rat). Its description in RNAcentral is "lncRNA (ENSHGLG00000031926.1)". The record is from RNAcentral. Lineage: Eukaryota; Metazoa; Chordata; Mammalia; Rodentia; Bathyergidae.
GCUUUAAAACAGUGUUUCUCCGGCCAUCUGAAUUAAAGGACAACUUGUGGGAUUUUUUGGUUUUGUUUUGUUCUUUCAUUUACUUAGGGACCAGUGAGCAUGACCAGUCUGUGCAAGUCUGACAACAGCGGAACUGGGUCUAUCCCCUACUCAGAAAGGCAAGUCCUCGGAUCACAUGCUUGGAUGGGGCGCUAAUGCCAACUUGCAAAUUCAGAGUUGAGUGAAGAGAGGAACCUGUUGAACGCCUGGGCUGGAUGAUGAGAGAGUGCGAAGAAAAUCCUGGAGAAGAUGUCUGUGCCCAUGGCUGUGAAGGGCCCAGGCUGAUGUGAAUGUGCUGCACUGGGCAAGUGAGUUGAGUGUGUGUGGCAGCGGGCGCAUGCGGCACAUGGGCUGUGCGCUGGAGCGCGCUGUGUGUACGCCGCACAAGGAGAGAGCCCUGGUCCAGGAGUCUCACAGUCUGGGAUCAAGUCCCAGCUCAGCAGGCACUGAGCCCUGUGAACUUCAACCCCUGCACUAUCUGGAAGUGAGAAGCCGAGGUUUCUCCUGCUUCCCUGGCCAUGGAACUCCAGAGUGCAUGUGGGGGCACUUGGGGAUGUGAGUGAGUGAGG